Molecule: ribosomal RNA, 161 nt
Filed under: uncultured bacterium
Lineage: Bacteria
Description: partial 16S ribosomal RNA
Source: RNAcentral
CACGGAGUUAGCCGGGGCUUCCUUUAGCGGUACCGUCAGCCCACCGGAUUGUUCACCCGGUGGAUGUUCUUCCCGCUCGACAGGAGUUUACGACCCGAAGAUCUUCGUCCUCCACGCGGCGUUGCGUCGUCAGGCUUUCGCCCAUUGCGCAAGAUUCCCUA